This is a non-coding RNA of Paramuricea clavata, 207 nucleotides long. The record is from the annotation of a GenBank genome assembly. NCBI's taxonomy places the organism in Eukaryota, Metazoa, Cnidaria, Anthozoa, Malacalcyonacea, Plexauridae.
CUUAGAAAAAAGGUGUAAUUGUACCCUGUCUAAUAGCUUUGGUUCAAUACAAUUGGCAACAUCAGCAACUGGGCUGUCUUAGAAUUCAUGAAAGACCUUUGCUACAACCCCAAGAAAACAUGCCUUGUAUCAGGCGAUUAAAUUCUCUGCUUCAAUCAGAUUAACCACACAAAUGUUAUUGUUACCAUUGUGACUGCUACCCUUUUU